AAAUUAAAAUAGCUAAUAUCCCUGUGUGGAGUCAUAGCACGGACACACACACACAAACACAAGUUCACUGCAUUCACAAGAUCACUUUGAUAAUGUCACAGCCCUUACAGUAGGCUGAAAUUGUCCCUAAAAGAUCAACCCCCUGCUGCUCUGAGCUAGCAUCCUCAAAUUAGCAUGUGCGCAUGCAUGUGUGUGUGUGUGUGUGUGUGUGUGUGUGUGUGUGCUCCUUUAAGGCCGACAGUGAUGAAAGCUGCCUGCGGCGACAAGACAAGCUUUACCAUGACACAAAACACACCCUGGAGGACUGCAGACACCCUGCUGCUCAGGGGUAAAAGAGGGAUAGAGGGAUAGAUGAGGAGGAGAAGAAAAGAAAAAAAGAGUAUACAAGUGGAAGAUGGAGGCUGACGAGGGAGACAUACGAAUGGAGAGAGUGCUGCGCUGAGAAGGAGAGACUGAGAGGACAGGGAUGUUACUGAAAUAUUUUGGCGCAACCUCCACUGCACAAGGACCAUCUACCUUGUCAGCUGACAUGACUGCUGCUGAGGGAACAUCGUCAGAGACUUCUGGGACAUCUACGCCCUCCUCUGACGAGACUGCAGCUGCAGAGAUCAUAACUGAGGAUGUGCAUACACCACCAAUGCUGUUUUGACCACAAAUGAGAAAAUACAGAAGGCCAAACUAUUCCAACAGGUAAAAUAAAAGCCAUUGAUGAUGGUAAUGUGUUAUUAUAUAUACUGCAUGUUUGGUUGGCUUUUGCCUUUUAUGUUGCAACUUUACAUGAAAUUUAAUAUAAUUUUCUAAGACUGGCAUCAAAUUAAAGCAAAGAUUUUUUGUAUCUACUACGACUAAUUUCUCUUUGGUGAUCAGCUUCUCUGGAACUUGUAACAUUUCUCAGCAACUAAAAAACUGUCAAUGUUAAACCAAAUAAAAAUAUUAAUAUCAAUGUCAUUCACAGAAAAUGCAAACAAACCUGUCAAACUGGUAUUCAGUGGCAUGCUGAGCUGUGCUAAAUUGUGCAUGACCAUCUUCCUGACUUUGCAGUGGCUUUUAAUCACACUAUUUAAUUAGUGUUUAUCCAUUUAGACACAUUGCCUGAGUGUCUUGGCUUUUUGUUACACAAGUGAAAUAUGCCCUUGUUACAUGAAGUCAUUUCCCAUGCUUGCCAGUAAAGGAAGAGUAAUUAACACUAAUUUUUAUUCAUUUAAUUUAAUUGGAGAGGUAAACAUACAGCCAGUAGUGGAUCUUGUAAAAGGCUCCAUGAGAUGAAAGGAAGGAAUAGGGGAAAGGAAAGGACAGAGGGAUGGUGCAAUGGUGAAUAGUGAACUAGCGAAGUCCAAAGGAAUGGAGGGUUGGAAGAGAAAACAGUAUGUUUAGUAGACAAAAAAAUAG
Long non-coding RNA from Siniperca chuatsi (mandarin fish), 1389 nucleotides. RefSeq lists it as uncharacterized. The transcript has 3 exons. Lineage: Eukaryota; Metazoa; Chordata; Actinopteri; Centrarchiformes; Sinipercidae. The record is from RefSeq and is a predicted model, not a curated record.